This 459-nucleotide ribosomal RNA is filed under the name uncultured bacterium. Its description in RNAcentral is "partial 16S ribosomal RNA". It matches the Rfam family "Bacterial small subunit ribosomal RNA", at positions 338 to 795 of the family's 1533-position model. The record is from RNAcentral.
CCUACGGGAGGCAGCAGUGAGGAAUAUUGGUCAAUGGGCGGGAGUCUGAACCAGCCAAGUAGCGUGAAGGAUGACUGCCCUAUGGGUUGUAAACUUCUUUUAUAUGGGAGUAAAGUGUUCCACGUGUGCGGUUUGGUAUGUACCAUAUGAAUAAGGAUCGGCUAACUCCGUGCCAGCAGCCGCGGUAAUACGGAGGAUCCGAGCGUUAUCCGGAUUUAUUGGGUUUAAAGGGUGCGUAGGUGGAUGCUUAAGUCAGUGGUAAAAUUGUGGGGCUCAACCUCGUCGUUCCGUUUGAACUGGGUGCCUUGAGUGGGCGAGAAGUACGCGGGAUGCGUGGUGUAGCGGUGAAAUGCAUAGAUAUCACGCAGAACUCCGAUUGCGAAGGCAGCGUACCGGCGCCCAACUGACGCUGAAGCACGAAGGCGUGUGUAUCGAACAGGAUUAGAUACCCGAGUAGUC